RNAcentral lists this transfer RNA (69 nucleotides) under Rattus norvegicus (Norway rat). It matches the Rfam family "tRNA". From Rfam's summary of the family: Transfer RNA (tRNA) molecules are approximately 80 nucleotides in length. Their secondary structure includes four short double-helical elements and three loops (D, anti-codon, and T loops). The record is from Rfam by way of RNAcentral. Lineage: Eukaryota; Metazoa; Chordata; Mammalia; Rodentia; Muridae.
GGGGAUUUAGCUCAGUGGUAGAGCACUUGCCUAGCAAGCAUGAGGCCCUGGGUUCGGUCCCCAGCUCCU